Molecule: non-coding RNA, 23 nt
Filed under: Cricetulus griseus (Chinese hamster)
Lineage: Eukaryota; Metazoa; Chordata; Mammalia; Rodentia; Cricetidae
Source: RNAcentral
ACGUGAUUGAUCGACUUUACCCC